CGCUGGAAAACCUCCUGGUGAAUCAAUCUUAUUUGUUUUGGCCUUCCUCUGAUUAACAACAGCAUUACGAGCAUCAAGCUGUUGUGGGCUGUCAAUAUGCGGUUCUGAGGGAAAGGACGAAUCACCCCUNNNNNNNAGCAGCCUUUUUUCCAUCCUUUUGAUUCACCCCUCUUUCUUGGGAUUGAGAGUUGGCAGACCUAGUGUCCAAACUAGAAGGGCUUUCAUGAUCAAAAGACUGAC
Molecule: unclassified non-coding RNA, 240 nt
Filed under: Hevea brasiliensis (rubber tree)
Lineage: Eukaryota; Viridiplantae; Streptophyta; Magnoliopsida; Malpighiales; Euphorbiaceae
Source: RNAcentral